GCUCAGAUUGAACGCUGGCGGCAGGCCUAACACAUGCAAGUCGAACGGUAACAGGAAGAAGCUUGCUUCUUUGCUGACGAGUGGCGGACGGGUGAGUAAUGUCUGGGAAACUGCCUGAUGGAGGGGGAUAACUACUGGAAACGGUAGCUAAUACCGCAUAACGUCGCAAGACCAAAGAGGGGGACCUUCGGGCCUCUUGCCAUCGGAUGUGCCCAGAUGGGAUUAGCUAGUAGGUGGGGUAAAGGCUCACCUAGGCGACGAUCCCUAGCUGGUCUGAGAGGAUGACCAGCCACACUGGAACUGAGACACGGUCCAGACUCCUACGGGAGGCAGCAGUGGGGAAUAUUGCACAAUGGGCGCAAGCCUGAUGCAGCCAUGCCGCGUGUAUGAAGAAGGCCUUCGGGUUGUAAAGUACUUUCAGCGGGGAGGAAGGGAGUAAAGUUAAUACCUUUGCUCAUUGACGUUACCCGCAGAAGAAGCACCGGCUAACUCCGUGCCAGCAGCCGCGGUAAUACGGAGGGUGCAAGCGUUAAUCGGAAUUACUGGGCGUAAAGCGCACGCAGGCGGUUUGUUAAGUCAGAUGUGAAAUCCCCGGGCUCAACCUGGGAACUGCAUCUGAUACUGGCAAGCUUGAGUCUCGUAGAGGGGGGUAGAAUUCCAGGUGUAGCGGUGAAAUGCGUACAGAUCUGGAGGAAUACCGGUGGCGAAGGCGGCCCCCUGGACGAAGACUGACGCUCAGGUGCGAAAGCGUGGGGGAGCAAACAGGAUUAGAUACCCUGGUAGUCCACGCCGUAAACGAUGUCGACUUGGAGGUUGUGCCCUUGAGGCGUGGCUUCCGGAGCUAACGCGUUAAGUCGACCGCCUGGGGAGUACGGCCGCAAGGUUAAAACUCAAAUGAAUUGACGGGGGCCCGCACAAGCGGUGGAGCAUGUGGUUUAAUUCGAUGCAACGCGAAGAACCUUACCUGGUCUUGACAUCCACAGAACUUUCCAGAGAUGGAUUGGUGCCUUCGGGAACUGUGAGACAGGUGCUGCAUGGCUGUCGUCAGCUCGUGUUGUGAAAUGUUGGGUUAAGUCCCGCAACGAGCGCAACCCUUAUCCUUUGUUGCCAGCGGUCCGGCCGGGAACUCAAAGGAGACUGCCAGUGAUAAACUGGAGGAAGGUGGGGAUGACGUCAAGUCAUCAUGGCCCUUACGACCAGGGCUACACACGUGCUACAAUGGCGCAUACAAAGAGAAGCGACCUCGCGAGAGCAAGCGGACCUCAUAAAGUGCGUCGUAGUCCGGAUUGGAGUCUGCAACUCGACUCCAUGAAGUCGGAAUCGCUAGUAAUCGUGGAUCAGAAUGCCACGGUGAAUACGUUCCCGGGCCUUGUACACACCGCCCGUCACACCAUGGGAGUGGGUUGCAAAAGAAGUAGGUAGCUUAACCUUCGGGAGGGCGCUUACCACUUUGUGA
RNAcentral lists this ribosomal RNA (1456 nucleotides) under uncultured organism. Its description in RNAcentral is "SSU rRNA". It matches the Rfam family "Bacterial small subunit ribosomal RNA". The record is from RNAcentral.